CGUAGGAACACCUAGAGAGAGGAUUUGGUGGUGGGCUUCGCCUAGAAGCCAGCUGACCUGGCAUGGAGCUGGGUUUCUGAGCCCAAGGGGAAGGUUGGGAGGGAGGGCUCAAGCCACUAGGGGCCCAGAGGCAGCACACGAUGGCCAGGGGCUUGACCCUGCUCAGCUCCACUGUUCUGUGCUAGACACAGGGAGCCUAGGUCCUCCAACUUGUGUGCAUGGCAGCAUCACCAAGGCACUCGCUACCCAGGUUUCCAGACCCCACCCCCGCUGUUCUGGUCCAGAAUGCCUGGGGUGGGCCUGAGAACCUGCAUUUGCAACAAGGGUCCCAGUCGGCUGCAGAUCACAUGGACUCCGGAGCCAGACUGCCUGGUUGGAAUCUUGCCUCUGCUUCCUCGCCAGGCAACCUUGGGAAGGAAGUAGAUGAGGAUGGCGACUGAAGAGAUGAGGACACAGGGUGCAAUGAUGUUGAUGACAUAGAAGAGGGGUUUGCGCUGGAUCAGCAGGUAGAAGACGACCUUCUGGUGGCCUGCCUCCUCCUCUGGUGCCUCCACGUCUAGCAGCAUCUUGGCAGGCCGGUGCCGGAUGGCCCACUCCCCAUUCUCUGCGGGAAGCAGGCCAGGGUGGGUGCAGAGAGGGAAACCCCCAUCCCCUAGCUGCAGGGUGGCCAGCGCAGGCCCAAAGGAGCACCAUCCAAGGAGCCUGGAUACAUGAUUCCCCUCCCACCCAAACUGGGAGAGAAGAACUGUGUUGAGCCUUUAAAGAUAAUUUUUUAUGG
This is a long non-coding RNA of Lutra lutra (Eurasian river otter), 778 nucleotides long. RefSeq lists it as uncharacterized. The transcript is spliced from 2 exons. The record is from RefSeq and is a predicted model, not a curated record. Lineage: Eukaryota; Metazoa; Chordata; Mammalia; Carnivora; Mustelidae.